Molecule: ribosomal RNA, 501 nt
Filed under: uncultured bacterium
Lineage: Bacteria
Description: partial 16S ribosomal RNA
Rfam family: Bacterial small subunit ribosomal RNA
Source: RNAcentral
AUUGAACGCUGGCGGCAGGCUUAACACAUGCAAGUCGAGCGGGGGAAGGUAGCUUGCUACCGGACCUAGCGGCGGACGGGUGAGUAAUGCUUAGGAAUCUGCCUAUUAGUGGGGGACAACAUCUCGAAAGGGAUGCUAAUACCGCAUACGUCCUACGGGAGAAAGCAGGAGAUCUUCGGACCUUGCGCUAAUAGAUGAGCCUAAGUCGGAUUAGCUAGUUGGUGGGGUAAAGGCCUACCAAGGCGACGAUCUGUAGCGGGUCUGAGAGGAUGAUCCGCCACACUGGGACUGAGACACGGCCCAGACUCCUACGGGAGGCAGCAGUGGGGAAUAUUGGACAAUGGGGGGAACCCUGAUCCAGCCAUGCCGCGUGUGUGAAGUAGGCCUUAUGGUUGUAAAGCACUUUAAGCGAGGAGGAGGCUACUCUAGUUAAUACCUAGGGAUAGUGGACGUUACUCGCAGAAUAAGCACCGGCUAACUCUGUGCCAGCAGCCGCCGUAA